UACAGAGGUCCCGAGCGUUGUUCGGAUUUACUGGGCGUAAAGGGUGCGUGGCGGUGGGGUCAGUUUGAGGUGAAAGCUCCGGGCUCAACCCGGAAAAUGCCUUGAAAACUAUCCGGCUAGAGGGUUGGAGGGGAGACUGGAAUUCUCGGUGUAGCAGUGAAAUGCGUAGAUCUCGAGAGGAACACCAGUGGCGAAGGCGGGUCUCUGGACAACACCUGACGCUGAGGCACGAAAGCCAGGGGAGCAAACGGG
RNAcentral lists this ribosomal RNA (252 nucleotides) under uncultured bacterium. RNAcentral describes it as "partial 16S ribosomal RNA". It matches the Rfam family "Bacterial small subunit ribosomal RNA", at positions 524 to 776 of the family's 1533-position model. The record is from RNAcentral.